GAGCUGUGACGAAGCAUUUGCGCAAACCCGCGAUGGUUGGGUCCAUCGCAACCGUCUGAUCUCGCCAGACGAAAUUAGCGCAUCCGAGCUC
Small nucleolar RNA from Diospyros lotus (date-plum), 91 nucleotides. RefSeq annotates it as small nucleolar RNA snoR114. Lineage: Eukaryota; Viridiplantae; Streptophyta; Magnoliopsida; Ericales; Ebenaceae. The transcript has a single exon. The record is from RefSeq and is a predicted model, not a curated record.